Non-coding RNA from Aedes albopictus (Asian tiger mosquito), 74 nucleotides. The record is from Rfam. Lineage: Eukaryota; Metazoa; Arthropoda; Insecta; Diptera; Culicidae.
UGUUCUGUGGCUCAGUUGGUUAAAGCGCCGGUCUAGAGAAUACGGAAUUUUGGGUUCGAAUCCCACCAGAACGC